Physcomitrium patens is the source of this 623-nucleotide non-coding RNA. NCBI's taxonomy places the organism in Eukaryota, Viridiplantae, Streptophyta, Bryopsida, Funariales, Funariaceae. The record is from RefSeq and is a predicted model, not a curated record.
AUUUGCUUUGCUUUGCUUUGCUUUUCGUUUUCUCUGCAAGGUCUGUUCCUCCCCUGGCUCGUGCCUCGAGGUAAACCUGGUCGGAACAGCUUUUUCUUACUCAUUCCAAUCAUGGGUUGUGUUGCCCAGGUUGAUUCCAAUAAAGGGAUAUAUUUGUAUUUAUAGGUGCAGUUUUAUUUUUUGUGGGAAAGAGGAGUGUUUGAACUGAACAGGAAUGGAGCUAUGGCGUUGCCCAGGAAUUGGCUGUCAGUGGAAGAGGCUUGGCAGGGUGUGUGUGAUUGUAGUGGGGAGGAGACUGAGGCUGGAAACAAGGAAACCCUUCAAAAUGGUCUGUCGACUGCACUGUCAUGUGCUAAAAGGGGCACAGACGGUUCGCCACACGUCUUUCAUUUUACUGUGUAAAGCAAAGCAAGGACAUUAUACUGAAUGAAACAUCGUCUUAAGCACAACCCAUUCGGCUAUUAGAAACAUAACAUUCACGUCGUAUCUUGUCAUGGUUUUACUGAAACGAGACCCAUGGAAAAGCAGACAAGUUUAGCUCGGGACUGUUGCACUGAUGAAAAAUAUCAAGGGUUCUACAAUGACCAAGGAAAUGAUAUUUGUCGAAUACUGUUUCAACCUCU